UACGGGGGGAGCAAGCGUUGUUCGGAUUUACUGGGCGUAAAGGGCGCGUAGGCGGCCUCUGCAAGUCGACUGUGAAAUCUCCGGGCUUAACCCGGAAAGGUCAGCCGAUACUGCAGGGCUAGAGUGCAGAAGGGGCAACUGGAAUUCUCGGUGUAGCGGUGAAAUGCGUAGAUAUCGAGAGGAACACCUGCGGCGAAGGCGGGCUGCUGGGCUGACACUGACGCUGACAGCGCGAAAGCUAGGGAAGCGAACGGG
Molecule: ribosomal RNA, 255 nt
Filed under: uncultured bacterium
Lineage: Bacteria
Description: partial 16S ribosomal RNA
Rfam family: Bacterial small subunit ribosomal RNA
Source: RNAcentral